Molecule: long non-coding RNA, 1414 nt
Organism: Chenopodium quinoa (quinoa)
Lineage: Eukaryota; Viridiplantae; Streptophyta; Magnoliopsida; Caryophyllales; Amaranthaceae
Exons: 5
Source: RefSeq, a predicted model, not a curated record
GAGCCCAAUACUUGGCUUUUUAGGGUUUCACCUCUUUCUCUCUCAUCAAUCCCUCACUCCCUCUCUCUCUCCUCUCCUCCCCUCCCCGUCAUUCACCUUCCUCCCCUCCCCGUCAUUCACCUAUCUCCUCUCCUUCCCUCCCCUCUCCAAUACUUGAGCAGCGGUUGCUAUCAUCUUGAGACAAUCAACUUGACCGGCGACUUCAUAAAAGAGCUCCCAAGCGGCGCCGUUUUUCGACGGAGGUGUAACCGGCGGUGAAGAGCAAUUUAGUUUUUCUUUCUCAGAUCUAUGAGUUGAUUUUUUAGAACGAAUUAGAAGAGAUUAUUAACAUAUUACCGGAGGUGUAAACGGCGGUGUCGUAGAGAACUCAUAGAUCUGAGCAAUUUAGUUUUUCUUUCUCAGAUCUAUGAGUUUAUUGACUGAGCGAGGUGGCGAGUCAACUCGGCUAAGAACUCGGCCAAGAAAUUAUUAAGCUUCUAGUUAUUGUUGCUGUCACCACGUUCAGUCUCACUGAAGCUAAUCGGCGAGUCAAGGGACGAGUUAGGGUCAAACCUAACUAUCGAAGAACAAUUCUUAGAUAAUUUGGGAUAUCUUUGCCAUUUUAGAUCGUGAGGAAGAGAGGCAGUUGAGGUAGAACCAAUAUUGGAUGCACUUCCAAAAUUAGAGCCAUAAGCCUAGUCUUCUAAACUGUGUUUCUUUAGGAGUCAGGCAGAUAGCAGACAGUCAAAGGAUAAGUCUGUCUUGAUAUUUUAAAUUCAGAAAGUGACUUACAAUCCAUUCUUGUACUUACCAGAUAUAUUUACUGCUCGUCCGCUGGUGUUUAUCUCAAAUCAGACCUCUUACCAUACUGUGAGGCAGAUGCUGUUGAUCCAAAGAGUAGGCACAAGGGAAAGCUUGACACCAAGAGCUUGCUUUAAACAAGGGGUGUAAUUACGUGAUUUUGGGGAUGAUGGGACUUAUGCUAUGAAGAAAGUAUUGAUACAAAACAAUGAGCAACUGGACUUGGUCAGGGAGGAGAUCCAAGUUUCCUCCCUGUUUACACAUCCCAAUCUGCUUCCCCUUCUUGAUCAUGCUAUCAUCAAAGUCAAGGCCACUCAAGAGCAAUCCUGGAAACAUAAAGCGUACCUGUUAUUCCUAGUUCAUUUGGAUGGAACUUUGCUGGACAACUCAACCGCUAUGAAGGCUAAUAAUGCCCUUCUGGUGGAAGCUUAACUGUACAAUGGCAAAUAAGAGGAGAACGGUAUAAUUUUUUUUUUUUUUUUUUUUUUUUUUUUGAAACCAGGAAAACAAAUGUACUUGAGAUUUGGUUUAAUUUAGCUGCUCUUUUAAAGCUUUAGUUAGUAGUUUAUUAAUAUUAAUUGUAUAUAUUUUUUUUUUUUUGAAAGAAAUAUUAAUUGUAUAAAAAUAUAUACAA